Molecule: unclassified non-coding RNA, 1748 nt
Filed under: Leishmania donovani
Lineage: Eukaryota; Euglenozoa; Kinetoplastea; Trypanosomatida; Trypanosomatidae
Description: gene:LdHU3.17.0800(CDS-product:DnaJ_domain_contai ning_protein_putative)
Source: RNAcentral
CGCCCCCCCCCUUCCCUGUGCGCGUGUGCGUUUUUUUUUGUUGGGGGUCUCGACUGUCUCUACGCCUUUAAUGCUGCUCCGAGCUACCGCGGCGUCGACGUUGGCCUCGGCGCUUCUCCACCGCAGGGGACGCGCACCGCGGCCGGUGACGGCGGGUGUCACCGCCAGCCUUGCCAGUCGCUGCUGUUGCUCACCUCCAUCGGCUGCUCUAUCUUCGUCAUACCAGCCAACGUCUUCGCUUGUGCUGCUGCGUGCAGCGACGUUGUGCGCGCCCACCACAGGCAGCUCUUCUGCUUGGGCGACAGCUCGCCGCUGGCAGUCCAGCGGUGGCCCAGGCUACGGCACCGUCCCCGCCGACAUCGACUCGCCACGCGGCGCAGCAAAGCCCACGGAAGAGGAGCUCCAUCGCGAGCAGCGUCGCCGCACGCACGGGCCCGCGGCAACUGCCGAGGACGCGAACAAGGAAGCCGUCAGCACCCACGUAAGCGGGUACAACCCAUGGGAGGUGCUGGGCCUGAAGCCGGGUGCUUCGACGCAGACGAUCCGCCUGCGCUACCACGAGCUCAUGAAGCAGGUUCACCCGGACAUGGCGGCCGACGGCACCGGCGACAUCCCACGCCUCAACCAGAUCAACAAGGCAUACGAGCUGAUCACUAAGAGUCCGACGCUGGACCGGCGCUACCGAAACCUUGUCUCAGACACGCAGUACUUCUACUACAAGUUCCUGCCCGAGUGGAUGGCGCGCAACGUGGACGAGAUGCCGCGGUACUGGAGUUGGGUUAAGUGGCGUACCCCGAGCGGCUUCCACAUUUUCCUGCUGCUCUGCGGCUUCUACGUGCUCGGCCGCUUCUACGCCGCCUUCCCAAUGCUGACGAGCGUCUUCUUCGUCUCCGUGGCGCUGGAUGUGCUGCUACACACGAUGCUUGCCCCGGCGGCGUUGUGCAUGCUGUUCCUCUACUCGAUCAUGGCGUACCGGAGCUACGAUAUGGCGUGGCUGACCAGCCCGAAGGGCUUUCUGCGUCGUGAGUUGGGCUAUUAAUUUCACGAACAGCAUGGCGGGGCACUCGCGCAAAGUCGUUUGCGCCUUGCACGUGUGUCGUGCGCGGGCUGAUGGUGGCGCUGAGGCGGUGGCGCUCCGUUUGAUGCGUUUGCUCUUUGCGGGGUGCCCUCGCGGAGGGUGGGGUGGGGAGGAGGAGGGUGGUGGCGCCGACAGAGGGCGCACUCCUGCGCCCGUGCGUGCUUGCAUAGUGCACGAGAGGGCGGAUGAGGUGGGCGAGGGUGGGCUCGUUUGGCAGAGCGAAUACAGGUAGCGCCUUCCGCCUUCCCUCCGGGGGCGGUGCGGAGGGGGCUCACCUCAGCAGUCACGCGCGCCCUCCCAUCGCACGUUCCUGUCUUCUGCACCUCCAUUUGUGUGGCGCCGUUUUUUUUUUCUCGGCCGCCACUCGGUUAGCUUGCGUGUGUGUGUGCUCUUAAGGCGAUGAUACUUAAAUCGAGUGGACAGUCACAGACGAAAUAGAGAGAAAAGGAGGGGAAGUGAAUGUGUUGGAAGGUGGGGGGCGCAGCGCAGACCUGCGCAUCCCUCCGUGUGGCUACGUGCGGGUUGCCUCGCCCUUCCGUGUAAGUCGAGAUAUGUUCCCCCUCCCCCUUCCAUCUAUCUCCUUGUUUCUGUGUGUUUGUGUGUGUGCGUGGCUGUCGGCGUAGGGGUCUCGCACGCUCACAAACUCCGGUCGACUCCGUCAGCAGCGAUG